UUGGGAAAUGUAGCCCAAAAAUUCAUGUUAUCAAUGUGUUAUUUGUGUGACUGAAAUUUUAUGUAGGCACAGGCAUAGGAGGAAAAACAGAAAAUAAUUUUUUGGAAAAUUCAGACAUUCUCUAAAAGGUUGUUCCCUAUGUACAUUAAAGCAAAAAUAUUAAAUCCAAUUUCAUUAAGUUUUAGGUGUGGAAAUAAACGCAUCAUAGUGGGACAGGAAGAAGGAUCAGGUCUUUUUUUUCAUUUUAUUGUUUUCUAAGAUCCCAUUGAACUGGUCUUUUUCUGAAACUGGUGCCAUCUUGCUUCUGACUUUAAAAAUACUUGUGUCUUAAAACUACGUUCAUAUGUAUUCCACACACUAGAGAACUUACUGCAUUGCAUCAGCAGAACGGUCUAUAUUAUAUGUGAUAGGUAAUAAAAAUAACAUUAAUUUCUAACCCUGAAUAUUUAAUAACUCAUUAUCUUAGAAUAAGGAACAAAUUCAUUUUGAAACUAUACCUUGCUAAUUUUUCAUGGGGUAAGAGAAGGAUUAUAAAAUGACAGAUUUAGACUCUCAGAAGUUACUUCCUGGAGUGGUUGGCAAAUGAAGCUAAUGGUGAAACAAGUAUUUCCUGUGGUUGUAGAAAUGCGAUAGGAUUCCUACUUUACCAUAUGUAUCAAUGUAGUGUUAAUAAAUGUGAUGUCAUUCAUAAAUUAACUUCACUUUUUCCCAUUUCCCUUACUAGCUUUUGCAUGUGAUGAACACUUCUGCUGCCUUGUAGACAACCAAAAGCAGGGAGAAUGGAACAAAGAGAAGUCAGAGAGAUGAGGGAAAGAAAUACAGAAAUUUCAUUGGGAACAAGAAGGAGAAUGGCAGGGAGGACCAAGAGAAGAACAAAUAGGGAAAAGAAGAUUUGGAGGAGAAAUACAACAUCAGUCCUGGAAGGAGAAAGAAGAAAACAGGAGAUAAGGGAGAAACUCACAGUACAACUCUUGAAAUUCUUGGUUGACUCAUCUUGCAGACCUCUACAGCUCGUUAAGUUUGUCUGUGAAGUUCUACAGCUCUAUAAAAAUGAGCUGACUGAAUAAAGGACAGCAAGCCUUUUAUUUUCAA
This is a long non-coding RNA of Neopsephotus bourkii (Bourke's parrot), 1092 nucleotides long. RefSeq lists it as uncharacterized. The transcript has 2 exons. The record is from RefSeq and is a predicted model, not a curated record. Lineage: Eukaryota; Metazoa; Chordata; Aves; Psittaciformes; Psittacidae.